AUGACCAGUACUAGCAGCUACUCCGGUGGGCGUGCACGAGCAAGGACCAUGCCGCUGGCAAUGGCAAUGGCCCUGCUAUGCUUGGCGAUCAUAUCCGGUGGGUGCGAGGGGUGCACCAACGACGAGAGGGGGGCGCUUCUGGACAUCCUCCGGGAGCUCUUCUAUAACGACGACUUAUCGCCGGGCUGGAAUACUAGCACCACUACAGAUUGCUGCCUGUGGGGGAGGGUGACCUGCAACUCCCCCGCAGGCCGUGUCACAGGCCUCGACCUGAGUAGGUCUGAACCUGUUGCCUCCAGCUCUAGGCUACUCAACACUACUAUGUUCCUUCCCUUACAGGAGCUGCAGGAGUUGCACCUCAGUCGCCUCAAAAUACAAGGAUGCAAACCCGGUGCAGGCUUUGAAGUAUGGUCAAAAUUAGAAAAACUAAAAAUUCUUGAUUUAUCAUAUAAUGAUAAAUUAAUGGAGAGUGCCAUCCCAUCCUUGGUCGCAAUUGUAUCGCUACGGUCCCUAUUCCUCAACGGGAAUGACUUCAGCUCCAAUCUGACAAUACAACAACUCAGCAUAAUGAAAUUGGAUACUCUUGAUAUAGGCAAUAAUGAUAUCCAAGGCACCAUACCAACAGAUAUUUGCAACAUGAGAGAUCUUCAAGUGUUAUAUCUCAGUGACAAUCUUUUAUUUGGAGAGAUCCCAUCAUGCAUGCAAAAUCUGACUUCUCUCAGAAUUCUCGGUCUGUCAGAAAAUAAUAGAUUAAUAGUAAAGUUCCCCUCUCUUCUCUUUGCAAAACUCACAUCGUUGGAGAAACUUUCACUCGUAAAUAACUCUCUUGAAGGAGUUCUGUCGCUGAGUUCCUUACAAAAUCAUAGACAAUUGACUAAACUGGAACUUGCAAGCAGCGGUAACAACUUUCAUGUGCAAACUGAGAAUCCAGCAACAGAUUUGCCAGCUCAGAUUCAGGUUCUAGUGCUGCGAAAUUGCAACCUUAAUGGCAAUUCAGGCAUCGUACCAAGUUUCUUGUUGCAUCAACAUAAACUAGAGUCGGUCGAUAUGUCUAACAACAACCUAAGUGGUAACUUCCCUUCAUGGUUGAUAGAAAAUAAUGUCAACCUAUCACACUUAGUUCUGGGUAGUAACUCCUUUGCAGGUCCUCUUCUUCCAUCCAAAGUACACACCAGUUUGCAAUGGUUGGAUGCAUCUUCUAACAGGCUAAGCAUAUUACCUGUUGACAUUAACAUCACAUUACCAAAUCUGAGUUACAUAUCCUUAUCAGGGAAUUCUUAUAUGGGCAACUUUCCUUCUUCCUUUAGCUACAUGAAUAGUCUACAGUAUUUAGACUUGUCAUACAACAAUUUCUUAGAUGACAUUGCGGCUGCUUUUGUUGGAAAUAUGUCAAAUAUCAUUGGUCUAAAACUGUCUGGAAACCAUUUCUAUGGGUCGUUCUCUCCAAACAUACUAUUACCUGCCGUUAAACAUCUAUUGCUCAGUGAUAAUGAAAUCGCUGGGAAAAUUCCUGAGAAGUUAUGUGACAGUCUGAUACUUAUGACAUUUGAUGCUAGCAAUAACAAGUUGACCGGCCCGCUCCCUACUUGCAUAUCCGCACUCUCAGAACUUGCCAUUUUGAAUUUAAGAGGGAACUCAUUGGCUGGAUCGAUUCCGUCGGAAGUAUGCGGCCUGCGAAAGCUUGUGUUUCUUGAUGUGUCGGAAAAUAACCUUUCUGGUCCAGUGCAUUGCUUACCGGAUCUAUGCUACCUUCAUAUGAGUAGAAACCGAUUAAAUGGAACCUUUCCUAUUCCAUUGUACUCGAGAAAUAAUAUCUAUACAAUGGAUCUCCAAGAAAACCAAUUCAGUGGUGUCCUUCCAAAGCUGAUAGGGAAGUCCUUUCCAAAGCUAAAAGUACUGUUAUUAAAAGAUAAUAUGUUCGAAGGGACAGUUCCAAAUGAUAUAUGCAGUUUGAAGUAUCUGCGUCUACUAGAUUUGUCUCAUAAUAGACUAUCGGGGGAGUUACCUUUAUGCAUGAACAUUAUGGGAUCCGAUGACAGUUUAUUUGAUUUCCAACCUGGUUUUGGAACUUUUCCUGUUUUAUUCAAUGUUAUUGGGCUGCCAGAUCAAGAGGAAUUCAUGACCAAGGGCAGGCAGGACAAUUACAGGGGAAACAUACUCAACUACAUGACUGGACUUGAUUUCUCUUCGAACCAGUUGAAAGGAUCCAUUCAUGAAAAUAUAGGUGGCAUGAAAUGGUUAAGGGCAUUGAAUUUCUCGGAAAAUAACUUUGAUGGAUCAAUACCACAGUCCUUGUCAAAUUUAAGUUAUCUGGAGAGCUUGGAUCUCUCGCACAACAAGUUGGCAGGCCAAAUACCUUCAGAGCUAGCAGCAUUACCGUCCCUUGCGGUGUUCUCAGUGGCAUACAACAACCUGUCUGGUCCGACGCCAGGAAUAAAGGGGCAGUUCAUCACAUUUGAUCAGAGCAGCUACGAAGGAAAUCCAUAUCUCUGUGGCCCACCAUUGUUGAGUUGCUCUGAGGCGCCGUCAGUUCCCGAGCUUGAAGAAAAUAAGGAAGAUGAUAAAGUUGAUGAUAUAAUCCUGUUUGGCUGUUCAGCAAUGUUUUACAUGGUUGGUUUCUGGACUUCCUUGGGUGUGCUUUACUUCAAGACAAGCUGGCGAUGGUCAUGGUUUUCUGCCGUGGACAAGUUCAGCGAUUUUGCAAUGCUUAAGUUGGCUAUAUACACAAGAAAUAUACGUAUCACCAAUUGA
This 2751-nucleotide ribosomal RNA is filed under the name Triticum aestivum (bread wheat). RNAcentral describes it as "partial small subunit ribosomal RNA". Lineage: Eukaryota; Viridiplantae; Streptophyta; Magnoliopsida; Poales; Poaceae. The record is from RNAcentral.